RNAcentral lists this ribosomal RNA (505 nucleotides) under uncultured bacterium. Its description in RNAcentral is "partial 16S ribosomal RNA". It matches the Rfam family "Bacterial small subunit ribosomal RNA", at positions 28 to 507 of the family's 1533-position model. The record is from RNAcentral.
GACGAACGCUGGCGGCGUGCCUAAUACAUGCAAGUAGAACGCACAGUUUAUACCGUAGCCUGCUACACCAUAAACUGUGAGUUGCGAACGGGUGAGUAACGCGUAGGUAACCUGCCUGGUAGCGGGGGAUAACUAUUGGAAACGAUAGCUAAUACCGCAUAAUAUUGAUUAUUGCAUGAUAAUUGAUUGAAAGAUGCUAUUGCAUCACUACCAGAUGGACCUGCGUUGUAUUAGCUAGUAGGUGAGGUAACGGCUCACCUAGGCGACGAUACAUAGCCGACCUGAGAGGGUGAUCGGCCACACUGGGACUGAGACACGGCCCAGACUCCUACGGGAGGCAGCAGUAGGGAAUCUUCGGCAAUGGACGAAAGUCUGACCGAGCAACGCCGCGUGAGUGAAGAAGGUUUUCGGAUCGUAAAGCUCUGUUGUAAGAGAAGAACGGGUGUGAGAGUGGAAAGUUCACACUGUGACGGUAUCUUACCAGAAAGGGACGGCUAACUACGUG